Molecule: unclassified non-coding RNA, 335 nt
Filed under: soil metagenome
Description: partial contains 5.8S ribosomal RNA, internal transcribed spacer 2, and large subunit ribosomal RNA
Rfam family: 5.8S ribosomal RNA (bases 1-120)
Source: RNAcentral
GAUGAAGAACGUAGUGAAAUGCGAUAAGUAAUGUGAAUUGCAGAAUUCAGUGAAUCAUCGAAUCUUUGAACGCACAUUGCGCCCGCCAGUAUUCUGGCGGGCAUGCCUGUUCGAGCGUCAUUUCAACCAUCAAGCCCCCGGCUUGUGUUGGGGACCUGCGGCUGCCGCAGGCCCUGAAAACCAGUGGCGGGCUCGCUAGUCACUCCGAGCGUAGUAGUUACAUCUCGCUCAGGGCGUGCUGCGGGUUCCGGCCGUUAAAAGCCUUAUUUACCCAAGGUUGACCUCGGAUCAGGUAGGAAGACCCGCUGAACUUAAGCAUAUCAAUAAGCGGAGGA